RNAcentral lists this ribosomal RNA (795 nucleotides) under uncultured archaeon. Its description in RNAcentral is "bacterial SSU rRNA". It matches the Rfam family "Archaeal small subunit ribosomal RNA", at positions 85 to 879 of the family's 1478-position model. The record is from RNAcentral.
ACGGCUCAGUAACACGUGGACAACCUACCCUGAGGUCGGGGAUAAACCCGGGAAACUGGGUAUAAUACCCGAUAGAUCUAGAUCGCUGGAAUGCUUUUAGGUCUAAAGUUCCGACGCCUCAGGAUGGGUCUGCGGCCUAUCAGGGUAGUAGUGGGUGUAAAGUACCUACUAGCCUACGACGGGUACGGGUUGUGAGAGCAAGAGCCCGGAGAUGGAUUCUGAGACACGAAUCCAGGCCCUACGGGGUGCAGCAGGCGCGAAACCUUUACAAUGCUGGCAACAGCGAUAAGGGGACCUCGAGUGCUACGAUACAAUCGUGGCUGUCUAGUUGCCUAAAAAGCAAUUGAUAGCAAGAGCCGGGCAAGACCGGUGCCAGCCGCCGCGGUAACACCGGCGGCUCGAGUGGUAACCGCUAUUAUUGGGUCUAAAGGGUCUGUAGCCGGCUUAGUUAGUCUCUUGAGAAAUCUGGCCGCUCAACGGUCAGGCGUUCAGGGGAUACUGCUAAAGCUCGAGACCGGGAGAGGUGAGAGGUACUUCAGGGGUAGGGGUGAAAUCUUGUAAUCCUUGAAGGACCACCAGUGGCGAAGGCGUCUCACCAGAACGGAUCUGACGGCAAGGGACGAAAGCUAGGGGCACGAACCGGAUUAGAUACCCGGGUAGUCCUAGCCGUAAACGAUACUCGCUAGGUGUCGGCCACGGUGCGACCGUGGUCGGUGCCGUAGGGAAGCCGUGAAGCGAGCCACCUGGGAAGUACGGCCGCAAGGCUGAAACUUAAAGGAAUUGGCGGGGGAGCAC